UUUAUAAUAUUAAAUAAUAUAUCUGUUUCAUAAUACUUAUCACAUUUGGCAAUAUUAUCUUUGAUUUAAUAUUAAUUAUCUAAGAAAAUCAUUAAAUUGAAGUAAUAAUUAUUGGCCAUACACAAAGGGUAAACAUGAAAAAAAAAUAUUUAUUACUUCUUGAAACUACAAAUGUGACAAGUGUUUUAAAACAAAUUAUUUUCUUAAACGUUCAAUUGUUAUGUGUCACGACCCAUUUCCAUGGACCGGACCGGCACUAGGACCUGGGUGGGCUUAAGGCCCCCGAAGCCCGUAGUAAGCCUAACUUAUUUAAAUCUCACUUUCUAUUCAUAAUUAUGGAUUCAGGCCCAUUAACAUUUUAUACAUAUGCAUCCAAAAUGCAGUUCAUAUAUUUAAUAUGGACUUUUACUAUUUAUUUACAACCCAACUGGAAUACAAUUGCGGAACUCUACCUUUAUAUUUACAUCGUUAUUUCUAUCAUUAACAAUCUUCUAUAAUACGUGUUUCAACUCCAUAGGGCUUUCCCUUCUUUCUAUUACCUGGAAAAAAAAUAGUAGGCAGGGAUGAGCGCCAAACUCAAUGAGUAGGGUUAGAUAACCCUCUCACCCCACACAAUCACACAGAUGCUAAA
This 631-nucleotide long non-coding RNA is filed under the name Jatropha curcas. RNAcentral's name for it is "long non-coding RNA (JCUR_LNC001138)". The record is from RNAcentral. Lineage: Eukaryota; Viridiplantae; Streptophyta; Magnoliopsida; Malpighiales; Euphorbiaceae.